Helicoverpa armigera (cotton bollworm) is the source of this 820-nucleotide RNA transcript. RefSeq lists it as uncharacterized. The record is from RefSeq and is a predicted model, not a curated record. Lineage: Eukaryota; Metazoa; Arthropoda; Insecta; Lepidoptera; Noctuidae. The transcript is spliced from 3 exons.
UAUAAUCAGAAAUCAAUUAAGAUUCCUGUCCAAUUGUUCUCAUCUUGAAGUACGCAUCAGGCAGCCGCUAAACAAAAUAAUUUCGCAAUAAAGUGCAAGCAAAAAGUAUAAUGAUUAUUAUCGUAACGCUUCUGUACUGCCUUGCUAGUUUUUGUAGUGCCCGACCUAACAUCGAUAUUGGGCCGCAAAAUGUGGUGACGGUUCCUUCGAACUGUCCCGAAGGACAGGCCUGGGUGAACGGAGAAUGUCGUGACAUUUGGAAAGUUACUGCUGCACCUACCAACGUUGUCACAGUACCAGCUAACUGUUGUCCAGGACAAGUGUAUGUCAAUGGACAAUGCCGUGACAUCUGGAUCAAAGCUCUUCUAGAGCAAAAUUAUGCUAGUGAUUGUCGAUUGGAAUAUAGCGAUAAUUCACCGAAAAAUGUAGUGACUGUCCCACCUAACUGUCGCCCCGGACAACAAUGGAUUAAUGGAUCCUGUCGCGAUAUAUGGAAGAGCGCACCUAACUCGAAAAAUGUUGUGACCGUUCCCCCUAACUGUCCUCCAGGACAACAGUACGUCAAUGGCCAAUGCCGUGAUGUGUGGAAAAGGUAGGUUGCAAAUUCAAUACGAGGCCUUGUCUGAUGUUAGCGAUUCCCACAGAAAUAUUAUAAGUGUUCCUAGCCAGUGUCCUUCUGGGUACAAACCUGAUGCUCUUGGAAAUUGCCGGCCAAUCCUUGCCAAUUUCUAAUUUCUUAAUUACCUAAAUAAAUAUUAAGAGAACCUACCUGCCUAAAAAUUAAACCGUACUUAUGCCUAAUAAAUCCUAUUGAAAGCUA